GCCGCCUCAUCUGGGAAGAGGAGCUCCAUCUACAGGGGGGUCACAAGGUGGACAUGCAGAUUUGAGGCAUACCUCUGGGACAAGAAGAAAGGGAGGCAAGUCUAUCUGGGGGCUUAUGAGAAAGAGGAGGCAGCUACUCGUGCGUAUGACCUUGCAGCUCUCAAAUAUUGGGGGCCUGAAACCACACUGAAUUUUCUCUUGGAAACAGAAAAAAAGAAAGAAAUCAUCGUUGAUACGAAUGUGUACAUGUACAUCCAAGUUGCUGCAUCAGUUCCUGUUUGGUACAAACAGGAGCCGGGGUGUGUCUUGGCAAGCACCACCAUUGUCCAUUGACUCGAGAGUUGUGGAGGUGACAGCAGAGCAAAAGUGAUGAGUCACUGAGUAGUAGUAACGCCUUGACAGUCCAUGUCGUGCUUGCGUUUUAGUGUACAACUUAGAUGAGCAAAGCACAUAAAAAUACAGACUCUAAUGUGCUGGUUGUGUAACAACUGUUUGUUCCUGCAAAAAUAACGUUCCUCAUGCAUUCGUUCAUGAACCCACGUGGAUGAGUACGCCAAGGAGAGGUCGGAGAUGGAUUCGGUGUCGCGGGAGGAGUACCUCGCCACGCUCCGCCGCUGGAGCAGCGGCUUCUCCAGGGGGGGUCUCCAAGUACAGGGGCGUCGCCAGGUUGCCGAUGCCGGUGUGCGAGGUCGACCAACCGUGCGACGGGCGGAGUGCCCAGUCCGUAGGCUCAUCCCCUUCUCUGUCCUCUCCGGAGGCGGCCAUUGUUGUAUGGUGCACUCGUUGCCAGGAACUGCACUCACCAAUGGACUAGCUAGAAGUAUUCGAGGUAACUGGCGAUUCACCGCCGCCGGUGUCACCUGCAUCUACUGUGGGGCUGCGCUCGCCCUUGUCCUCGUCAGCAUUGUGGCUAGAGGCCACAUAUACCCAUCCAGAGCACCGGGUCCUUCCUGUUCCUAUACCGUUUCGUAGCCGAGGAGAUCCAACUGGUGUAACCACGCCUCAAUUCUUCUUGUCGUGCCUCAAGGAACUAGCCAGCAUCGGUAUCAGUUACUAUUGGUGCCUAUGAUUUGUUGAGGUGAUGAGGCAACCGCCAACUUAGGCCUGCUGAAGAACGACGCCAUUGCGGGAGGGGGAAGGAGUCGCGGAAGCUCCUGUGCCGGCGGGAGCGACGGUUCCACAACGAGUUGGUCAUUCGUCGCCUUUGAGUUGGAGGAUGUCCAAGGCCGGGAUUGUUCAUCACCACUGAGUUACAGUGCAGUCUCACACAAAGGAAGAGAGAAGAUAACUUGAUGUCAACGAAUUCUGAAUGGUUGAGAUAAUAUUGAUGCUCAAUCCAAAUCUGGAUGUCUCAUCUAUGAACAUUUAAAAUGCUGAGUAGUCCAUGGAAGCUUGCCUAGCCGCUUUCGCGCAACAUUAUAUCUUUGGAUGUUUGCACUUUUCUGGCUCUAGACGUGAGAUUCCUUAUAUGGUUCGACAAAUGCAUGAGGUUUGUAGAGGAAACAAACAUGAACCACCAGAACUGAAGGUCUCAAAAUCGAAGAUUCUUCUUCCCAUGUAUGAAAGUAUUAAGCAACCCAAAUUUUGAGUAUAUAAUUUGUUGGAACGGGACAUGUCAAGAGAAAACAGAGGAGUGAUAUGGCCAUUGGGAGCGAGGGUGUGUGCCUGGGCGACAUGGACGUUGUGCCCUCCCGACCGUUGUCUAGCCGACGUAUCCUCCUCCGGAAGGGAGUUCUCCGGGACUAGGGAGGCGCAACCUUCGCUGUCGGGGUCCGGGGCCGGCACGGGGUGAUGCAUCGGGGACGGUUUUGGGUGCUAGGGGAGGAUCUUGAGGAGGAUAAAGGGAACUGCAACGUGGAAAGGUUGGGCAAAUCCUUCGAGCCCAAGGCGGUGUGGUAGUCUGUAGCUUGGCGUUUUCUUGGCAUCUGUCUAUGCUAUUUUACUGGUCUUAUCAGAAGAAAUUAAUGAUUUUGCCAUGUGGGAGAUCAUGCUUACGUGUCAAUUAACACUGGCGAAACAUAUGACCAAGAGUUCGCAGGACCUAGAUCAUCGACUCUGCCCAGUCCUUUCCAUAGAUGAUGAUGAUGCAACAGAGGACACAGUUGCUAUUGAAGCUAAAGGUGCUUGGAAAACGCAACCAACAGAGAUCAGACUACAAUGAAAAUCACAUGAAGCGCCUCCAGAACCUGAAUGAGCAGCUCAUUCACCUGCUGAACAUAGUUUAUGUGAGCAAAGGAAAGCUUGCUAGGGGUUGACUCCUUGCAAUGAGGCGGCAGUGAGGCUGACUAUGGUUGUAUAUAUGCAGUGCAUUUACAAGAUCAGGUGUUUCGAUGUAGAAAUAUAGUUAUUUUCAGCUGAUUCAUGGCCCCACCCGGUGUGUGUGAUGCCGGUGACUAGAGCGGCAUGUUGCCUGAGACUCUGAAUUGCAGUGCUGCUCUGUGUUGUCUGAUACUGAAUUCUGAUGCAUGUUCAGGCUGACUUGUGGCGCUUGUUUGUGUUGCCUGAAACUGAAUUGUGCCACCUGAAGUUGUAUAGAGAACAUCUAAAAUAAGUGGAAUCAAAGGUGAUUUGAUCA
Hordeum vulgare subsp. vulgare (domesticated barley) is the source of this 2575-nucleotide long non-coding RNA. RefSeq lists it as uncharacterized. The record is from RefSeq and is a predicted model, not a curated record. The transcript is spliced from 14 exons. NCBI's taxonomy places the organism in Eukaryota, Viridiplantae, Streptophyta, Magnoliopsida, Poales, Poaceae.